This 22-nucleotide unclassified non-coding RNA is filed under the name Mus musculus (house mouse). Its description in RNAcentral is "oocyte_clustered_small_RNA13217". The record is from RNAcentral. Lineage: Eukaryota; Metazoa; Chordata; Mammalia; Rodentia; Muridae.
UGUCUGACGCUAGGGUCUCAUU